RNAcentral lists this ribosomal RNA (322 nucleotides) under uncultured Allapsidae. Its description in RNAcentral is "SSU rRNA". The stretch from base 59 to 322 matches the Rfam family "Eukaryotic small subunit ribosomal RNA", at positions 691 to 955 of the family's 1831-position model. Lineage: Eukaryota; Cercozoa; Glissomonadida; Viridiraptoridae. The record is from RNAcentral.
GAUUUCUGACUUGGCGCACCUGGCCCGCCACGGUUACGUGUGUGAGUGCCGGGAUGCGCCUGUCACUUUUCUGGUAAACCAUUGCGCUCUUCACUGAGUGUGAUGGGUAGCCAGAUAUUUUACUUUGAAAAAAUUAGAGUGUUUAAAGCAGGCGUUUGCUAUGAAUAUUAUUAGCAUGGAAUAAUAAGUUAGGACUUCGGUUCUAUUUUGUUGGUUUCUAGGACUGAAGUAAUGAUUGAUAGGGAUAGUUGGGGGUGCUAGUAUUCAGCGGCCAGAGGUGAAAUUCUCGGAUUCGCUGAAGACUUACUUAUGCGAAAGCAUU